RNAcentral lists this transfer RNA (76 nucleotides) under Dehalococcoides mccartyi CBDB1. RNAcentral describes it as "tRNA-Arg (CCT) (tRNA-Arg-CCT-1-1)". It matches the Rfam family "tRNA". Rfam says of the family: Transfer RNA (tRNA) molecules are approximately 80 nucleotides in length. Their secondary structure includes four short double-helical elements and three loops (D, anti-codon, and T loops). Further hydrogen bonds mediate the characteristic L-shaped molecular structure. tRNAs have two regions of fundamental functional importance: the anti-codon, which is responsible for specific mRNA codon recognition, and the 3' end, to which the tRNAs corresponding amino acid is attached (by aminoacyl-tRNA synthetases). tRNAs cope with the degeneracy of the genetic code in two manners: having more than one tRNA (with a specific anti-codon) for a particular amino acid; and 'wobble' base-pairing, i.e. permitting non-standard base-pairing at the 3rd anti-codon position. The record is from RNAcentral. Lineage: Bacteria; Bacillati; Chloroflexota; Dehalococcoidia; Dehalococcoidales; Dehalococcoidaceae.
GCCCCUGUAGCUCAGUAGGAUAGAGCAGCGGUUUCCUAAACCGCGUGUCGGCGUUCGAAUCGCCCCAGGGGUACCA